Molecule: ribosomal RNA, 433 nt
Filed under: uncultured bacterium
Lineage: Bacteria
Description: partial 16S ribosomal RNA
Rfam family: Bacterial small subunit ribosomal RNA
Source: RNAcentral
AACGAACGCUGGCGGCAUGCCUAACACAUGCAAGUCGAACGAGACCUUCGGGUCUAGUGGCGCACGUGUGCGUAACGCGUGGGAACCUGCCCUUAGGUUCGGAAUAACUCCCCGAAAGGGGUGCUAAUACCGGAUAAUGUCUUCGGACCAAAGAUUUAUCGCCUUGGGAUGGGCCCGCGUUGGAUUAGCCAGUUGGUAGGGUAAAAGCCUACCAAGGAGACGAUCCAUAGCUGGUCUGAGAGGAUGAUCAGCCACACUGGGACUGAGACACGGCCCAGACUCGUACGGGAGGCAGCAGUGGGGAAUAUUGGACAAUGGGGGAAAGCGUGAUCAAGCAAUGCCGCGUGAGUGAGGAAGGCCUUAGGGUUGUAAAGCUCUUUUAGCCGGGAUGAUAAUGACAGUACCGGGAGAAUAAGCACCGGCUAACUACGUG